This 414-nucleotide ribosomal RNA is filed under the name uncultured Gammaproteobacteria bacterium. Its description in RNAcentral is "partial 16S ribosomal RNA". The record is from RNAcentral. Lineage: Bacteria; Pseudomonadati; Pseudomonadota; Gammaproteobacteria.
CCCGUCAAUUCAUUUGAGUUUUAACCUUGCGGCCGUACUCCCCAGGCGGUCAACUUAAUGCGUUAGCUGCGCCACUAAGAGUUCAAGACUCCCAACGGCUAGUUGACAUCGUUUACGGCGUGGACUACCAGGGUAUCUAAUCCUGUUUGCUCCCCACGCUUUCGCAUCUCAGUGUCAGUAUCAGUCCAGGUGGUCGCCUUCGCCACUGGUGUUCCUUCCUAUAUCUACGCACUUCACCGCUACACAGGAAAUUCCACCACCCUCUACCGUACUCUAGCUCAGCAGUUUUGAAAGCAGUUCCCAGGUUGAGCCCGGGGAUUUCACUUCCAACUUACUGAACCACCUACGCGCGCUUUACGCCCAGUAAUUCCGAUUAACGCUUGCACCCUUCGUAUUACCGCGGCGGCUGGCACA